Molecule: ribosomal RNA, 426 nt
Filed under: uncultured bacterium
Lineage: Bacteria
Description: bacterial SSU rRNA
Rfam family: Bacterial small subunit ribosomal RNA
Source: RNAcentral
UGGGGAAUCUUGCGCAAUGGGCGAAAGCCUGACGCAGCGACGCCGCGUGGGUGAUGAAGGCCUUCGGGUUGUAAAGCCCUGUGGAGAGGGACGAAUAAGUUCGACCUAAUACGUCGGGCGAUGACGGUACCUCUUUAGCAAGCACCGGCUAACUCUGUGCCAGCAGCCGCGGUAAGACAGAGGGUGCAAACGUUGUUCGGAAUUACUGGGCGUAAAGGGCGUGUAGGCGGUCGUGCAAGUCGGGUGUGAAAGCCCAGGGCUCAACCCUGGAAGUGCAUUAGAUACUGCAAGGCUAGAGUCCCGGAGAGGAUGGUGGAACUCUCGGUGUAGAGGUGAAAUUCGUAGAUAUCGAGAAGAACACCGGUGGCGAAGGCGGCAAUCUGGACGGUGACUGACGCUGAGACGCGAAAGCGUGGGGAGCAAACA